This 301-nucleotide ribosomal RNA is filed under the name uncultured bacterium. RNAcentral's name for it is "partial 16S ribosomal RNA". It matches the Rfam family "Bacterial small subunit ribosomal RNA", at positions 509 to 809 of the family's 1533-position model. The record is from RNAcentral.
CAGCAGCCGCGGUAAUACGAAGGGUGCAAGCGUUAAUCGGAAUUACUGGGCGUAAAGCGUGCGUAGGCGGUUUGUUAAGUCUGUUGUGAAAUCCCCGGGCUCAACCUGGGAAUGGCAAUGGAUACUGGCAAGCUAGAGUGUGUCAGAGGAUGGUGGAAUUCCCGGUGUAGCGGUGAAAUGCGUAGAGAUCGGGAGGAACAUCAGUGGCGAAGGCGGCCAUCUGGGACAACACUGACGCUGAGGCACGAAAGCGUGGGGAGCAAACAGGAUUAGAUACCCCGGUAGUCCCUGUCUCUUAUAA